AGCGAACGCUGGCGGCAGGCUUAACACAUGCAAGUCGAGCGGGCACCCUCGGGUGUCGGCGGCAGACGGGUGGGCAACCCGUGGGAACACACGCUUCGGUCCGGAAUAACGCUGGGAAACAAGCGCUAAUACCGGAUGCGCCUACAGGGGGAAAGGUUUACGGCCGUAGUAUCGGGUCGAGUCUGAUUGGGGAGUUGGUUGGGUUAGGGCCUGCCCAGGCGGCGGUUGGUAGCUGGUCUGAGCAGAUGCUCAGCCACACUUGGACUGAGACACGGCCCAGACUCCUACGGGGGGCAGCAGUAGGGAGUAUUGGGCGAGGGGCGCAAGCCUGAUCCAGCCGUGCCGCGUGAGUGAUGAAGGGCGUAGGGUUGUGAAGCUCUUUUGUCCGAGACGAUAAUGACGGUACCGGAAGAAUAAGCCCCGGCUAACUUCGUG
Molecule: ribosomal RNA, 435 nt
Filed under: uncultured bacterium
Lineage: Bacteria
Description: partial 16S ribosomal RNA
Rfam family: Bacterial small subunit ribosomal RNA
Source: RNAcentral